GUGGGGAAUAUUGCACAAUGGGGGGAACCCUGAUGCAGCGACGCCGCGUGAAGGAAGAAGUAUCUCGGUAUGUAAACUUCUAUCAGCAGGGAAGAAAGAGGACGGUACCUGACUAAGAAGCCCCGGCUAACUACGUGCCAGCAGCCGCGGUAAUACGUAGGGGGCGAGCGUUAUCCGGAUUUACUGGGUGUAAAGGGAGCGUAGACGGCCAUGCAAGCUCGGUGUGAAAGGUGCGGGCACAACCCGCAGACUGCACUGAGAACUGUAUGGCUGGAGUGCCGGAGGGGCAGGCGGAAUUCCUGGUGUAGCGGUGAAAUGCGUAGAUAUCAGGAGGAACACCGGUGGCGAAGGCGGCCUGCUGGACGGCGACUGACGUUGAGGCUCGAAAGCGUGGGGAGCGAACAGGA
Molecule: ribosomal RNA, 407 nt
Filed under: uncultured bacterium
Lineage: Bacteria
Description: bacterial SSU rRNA
Rfam family: Bacterial small subunit ribosomal RNA
Source: RNAcentral